Caenorhabditis elegans is the source of this 95-nucleotide non-coding RNA. NCBI's taxonomy places the organism in Eukaryota, Metazoa, Nematoda, Chromadorea, Rhabditida, Rhabditidae. The record is from Ensembl.
AAGUGCCGUCGAUGUCGUCGGACAGUCGGGUGGGCAUCUUGCAUUCUCGGUCGAGAAACUCGUUUUGCGCAGUCUGUAUGUCUAUCUCUCUUCUU